AUUGAACGCUGGCGGAAUGCUUUACACAUGCAAGUCGAACGGCAGCACGGGUGCUUGCACCUGGUGGCGAGUGGCGAACGGGUGAGUAAUACAUCGGAACGUACCCAGUUGUGGGGGAUAACUAACCGAAAGGUUAGCUAAUACCGCAUACGACCUGAGGGUGAAAGCGGGGGACCGUAAGGCCUCGCGCAAUUGGAGCGGCCGAUAUCAGAUUAGGUAGUUGGUGGGGUAAAGGCCCACCAAGCCAACGAUCUGUAGCUGGUCUGAGAGGACGACCAGCCACACUGGAACUGAGACACGGUCCAGACUCCUACGGGAGGCAGCAGUGGGGAAUUUUGGACAAUGGGCGAAAGCCUGAUCCAGCCAUUCCGCGUGCAGGAUGAAGGCCCUCGGGUUGUAAACUGCUUUUGUACAGAACGAAAAGGUUUCUACUAAUACUAGGAGCUCAUGACGGUACUGUAAGAAUAAGCACCGGCUAACUACGUGCCAGCCGCCGCCGUAA
This 502-nucleotide ribosomal RNA is filed under the name uncultured bacterium. RNAcentral's name for it is "partial 16S ribosomal RNA". It matches the Rfam family "Bacterial small subunit ribosomal RNA", at positions 30 to 523 of the family's 1533-position model. The record is from RNAcentral.